GCUCGAGUGGCGAACGGGUGAGUAACACGUGAGUAACCUGCCCUUGACUUUGGGAUAACUUCAGGAAACUGGGGCUAAUACCGGAUGGAGCUCCUGCUGCAUGGUGGGGGUUGGAAAGUUUCGGCGGUUGGGGAUGGACUCGCGGCUUAUCAGCUUGUUGGUGGGGUAGUGGCUUACCAAGGCUUUGACGGGUAGCCGGCCUGAGAGGGUGACCGGCCACAUUGGGACUGAGAUACGGCCCAG
Molecule: ribosomal RNA, 243 nt
Filed under: uncultured Actinomycetales bacterium
Lineage: Bacteria; Bacillati; Actinomycetota; Actinomycetes; Actinomycetales
Description: partial 16S ribosomal RNA
Rfam family: Bacterial small subunit ribosomal RNA
Source: RNAcentral